Lycium barbarum (goji berry) is the source of this 336-nucleotide long non-coding RNA. RefSeq lists it as uncharacterized. Lineage: Eukaryota; Viridiplantae; Streptophyta; Magnoliopsida; Solanales; Solanaceae. The record is from RefSeq and is a predicted model, not a curated record. The transcript has 3 exons.
GGUCAUUGGAACAAGUAGAACAUUUAUUGUUGCAAGAUCAACAUUCUAGCCAAGUGGGAAAUUGAAGAAAAAGGAUUUUGGCGGAUUUGGAACGUGAAUUUGGAGUCGCAUAAGAAGCAGAAAAGGUACACCAGAUGAGCCACAGCUAUCAUAGAAGAUGUUCCAGCGGAGUUGGCAGGCUCCACUUGUUCUGGAGUGCUGCCGAGUCAGAGUGUCUGAGCCAUGAUGUUUGUUUGAUGUUAGAGACUUUGCAGACAGAGUCGUGGGUAUAGAGUGUCGAUAAUAUGUUGUAUCAUAAAGUCCAUGUGAUUGCAGAUUCUGUUUGACUUGAGUACG